GGGUUGUGAGGUUAAGCGACUAAGCGUACACGGUGGAUGCCCUGGCAGUCAGAGGCGAUGAAGGGCGUGCUAAUCUGCGAUAAGCGCCGGUAAGGUGAUAUGAACCGUUAUAACCGGCGAUACCCGAAUGGGGAAACCCAGUGUGACUCGUCACACUAUCAUUAACUGAAUCCAUAGGUUAAUGAGGCGAACCGGGGGAACUGAAACAUCUAAGUACCCCGAGGAAAAGAAAUCAACCGAGAUUCCCCCAGUAGCGGCGAGCGAACGGGGAGGAGCCCAGAGCCUGAAUCAGCAUGUGUGUUAGUGGAAGCGUCUGGAAAGGCGCGCGAUACAGGGUGACAGCCCCGUACACAAAAGCGCAUGUGCUGUGAGCUCGAUGAGUAGGGCGGGACACGUGGUAUCCUGUCUGAAUAUGGGGGGACCAUCCUCCAAGGCUAAAUACUCCUGACUGACCGAUAGUGAACCAGUACCGUGAGGGAAAGGCGAAAAGAACCCCGGCGAGGGGAGUGAAAAAGAACCUGAAACCGUGUACGUACAAGCAGUGGGAGCACAGGUUUACCUGUGUGACUGCGUACCUUUUGUAUAAUGGGUCAGCGACUUAUAUUCUGUAGCAAGGUUAACCGUAUAGGGGAGCCGUAGGGAAACCGAGUCUUAACCGGGCGUUAAGUUGCAGGGUAUAGACCCGAAACCCGGUGAUCUAGCCAUGGGCAGGUUGAAGGUUGGGUAACACUAACUGGAGGACCGAACCGACUAAUGUUGAAAAAUUAGCGGAUGACCUGUGGCUGGGGGUGAAAGGCCAAUCAAACCGGGAGAUAGCUGGUUCUCCCCGAAAGCUAUUUAGGUAGCGCCUCGUGAAUUCAUCUCCGGGGGUAGAGCACUGUUUCGGCUAGGGGGCCAUCCCGGCUUACCAACCCGAUGCAAACUGCGAAUACCGGAGAAUGUUAUCACGGGAGACACACGGCGGGUGCUAACGUCCGUCGUGAAGAGGGAAACAACCCAGACCGCCAGCUAAGGUCCCAAAGUCAUGGUUAAGUGGGAAACGAUGUGGGAAGGCCCAGACAGCCAGGAUGUUGGCUUAGAAGCAGCCAUCAUUUAAAGAAAGCGUAAUAGCUCACUGGUCGAGUCGGCCUGCGCGGAAGAUGUAACGGGGCUAAACCAUGCACCGAAGCUGCGGCAGCGACGCUGAUGCGUUGUUGGGUAGGGGAGCGUUCUGUAAGCCUGCGAAGGUGGCCUGUGAGGGUUGCUGGAGGUAUCAGAAGUGCGAAUGCUGACAUAAGUAACGAUAAAGCGGGUGAAAAGCCCGCUCGCCGGAAGACCAAGGGUUCCUGUCCAACGUUAAUCGGGGCAGGGUGAGUCGACCCCUAAGGCGAGGCCGAAAGGCGUAGUCGAUGGGAAACGGGUUAAUAUUCCCGUACUUGGUGUUACUGCGAAGGGGGGACGGAGAAGGCUAUGUUGGCCGGGCGACGGUUGUCCCGGUUUAAGCGUGUAGGUGUGUGUUCCAGGUAAAUCCGGUUCACUUUAACACUGAGGCGUGACGACGAGGCACUACGGUGCUGAAGCAACAAAUGCCCUGCUUCCAGGAAAAGCCUCUAAGCAUCAGGUAACACGAAAUCGUACCCCAAACCGACACAGGUGGUCAGGUAGAGAAUACCAAGGCGCUUGAGAGAACUCGGGUGAAGGAACUAGGCAAAAUGGUGCCGUAACUUCGGGAGAAGGCACGCUGACACGUAGGUGAAGUGAUUUACUCAUGGAGCUGAAGUCAGUCGAAGAUACCAGCUGGCUGCAACUGUUUAUUAAAAACACAGCACUGUGCAAACACGAAAGUGGACGUAUACGGUGUGACGCCUGCCCGGUGCCGGAAGGUUAAUUGAUGGGGUCAGCGCAAGCGAAGCUCCUGAUCGAAGCCCCGGUAAACGGCGGCCGUAACUAUAACGGUCCUAAGGUAGCGAAAUUCCUUGUCGGGUAAGUUCCGACCUGCACGAAUGGCGUAAUGAUGGCCAGGCUGUCUCCACCCGAGACUCAGUGAAAUUGAACUCGCUGUGAAGAUGCAGUGUACCCGCGGCAAGACGGAAAGACCCCGUGAACCUUUACUAUAGCUUGACACUGAACAUUGAGCCUUGAUGUGUAGGAUAGGUGGGAGGCUUUGAAGCGUGGACGCCAGUCUGCGUGGAGCCGACCUUGAAAUACCACCCUUUAAUGUUUGAUGUUCUAACGUGGACCCGUGAUCCGGGUUGCGGACAGUGUCUGGUGGGUAGUUUGACUGGGGCGGUCUCCUCCUAAAGAGUAACGGAGGAGCACGAAGGUUGGCUAAUCCUGGUCGGACAUCAGGAGGUUAGUGCAAUGGCAUAAGCCAGCUUGACUGCGAGCGUGACGGCGCGAGCAGGUGCGAAAGCAGGUCAUAGUGAUCCGGUGGUUCUGAAUGGAAGGGCCAUCGCUCAACGGAUAAAAGGUACUCCGGGGAUAACAGGCUGAUACCGCCCAAGAGUUCAUAUCGACGGCGGUGUUUGGCACCUCGAUGUCGGCUCAUCACAUCCUGGGGCUGAAGUAGGUCCCAAGGGUAUGGCUGUUCGCCAUUUAAAGUGGUACGCGAGCUGGGUUUAGAACGUCGUGAGACAGUUCGGUCCCUAUCUGCCGUGGGCGCUGGAGAACUGAGGGGGGCUGCUCCUAGUACGAGAGGACCGGAGUGGACGCAUCACUGGUGUUCGGGUUGUCAUGCCAAUGGCACUGCCCGGUAGCUAAAUGC
Molecule: ribosomal RNA, 2743 nt
Filed under: Salmonella enterica
Lineage: Bacteria; Pseudomonadati; Pseudomonadota; Gammaproteobacteria; Enterobacterales; Enterobacteriaceae
Description: partial 23S ribosomal RNA
Rfam family: Bacterial large subunit ribosomal RNA
Source: RNAcentral